Molecule: ribosomal RNA, 465 nt
Filed under: uncultured bacterium
Lineage: Bacteria
Description: partial 16S ribosomal RNA
Rfam family: Bacterial small subunit ribosomal RNA
Source: RNAcentral
CCUACGGGAGGCAGCAGUGGGGAAUAUUGCGCAAUGGGCGAAAGCCUGACGCAGCGACGCCGCGUGAGGGAUGAAGGUCUUCUGAUCGUAAACCUCUGUCAGCAGGGAAGAACGGUCACUGUGCUAAUCAGCAGUGAAUUGACGGUACCUUCAAAGGAAGCACCGGCUAACUCCGUGCCAGCAGCCGCGGUAAUACGGAGGGUGCGAGCGUUAAUCGGAAUUACUGGGCGUAAAGCGCUCGUAGGCGGUAUGUCAAGUCAAGGGUGAAAUCCCCGCGCUCAACGUGGGAACUGCCUUUGAAACUGGCAAACUGGAGUGUGUGAGAGGAUAGUGGAAUUCCAGGUGUAGGAGUGAAAUGCGUAGAUAUCUGGAGGAACAUCAGUGGCGAAGGCGACUAUCUGGCACAUAACUGACGCUGAGGAGCGAAAGCGUGGGUAGCAAACAGGAUUAGAUACCCGAGUAGUC